Molecule: non-coding RNA, 192 nt
Organism: Sus scrofa (pig)
Lineage: Eukaryota; Metazoa; Chordata; Mammalia; Artiodactyla; Suidae
Source: RefSeq, a predicted model, not a curated record
CACGGAUACACUGGUCAAUGUGCCGGGCAAACUGCUCACUCACCUGGGCAGCAGGAAGAGAACAGGAAAACUAUGAAGAGAGCGGAGGAGCACAUCCAAAGUUUAACUGAGCAUGAAGAGACAGAAGCACACCUCGGAGAUUUUGCUCGUUUGGCUCCAGGCUCACAAUAAAGUCACACAUGUUUUCUGGUU